UGAGGAAUAUUGGUCAAUGGACGAGAGUCUGAACCAGCCAAGUAGCGUGCAGGAUGACGGCCCUAUGGGUUGUAAACUGCUUUUAUAAGGGAAUAAAGUGAGUCUCGUGAGACUUUUUGCAUGUACCUUAUGAAUAAGGACCGGCUAAUUCCGUGCCAGCAGCCGCGGUAAUACGGAAGGUCCGGGCGUUAUCCGGAUUUAUUGGGUUUAAAGGGAGCGUAGGCCGGAGAUUAAGCGUGUUGUGAAAUGUAGAUGCUCAACAUCUGAACUGCAGCGCGAACUGGUUUCCUUGAGUACGCACAAAGUGGGCGGAAUUCGUGGUGUAGCGGUGAAAUGCUUAGAUAUCACGAAGAACUCCGAUUGCGAAGGCAGCUCACUGGAGCGCAACUGACGCUGAAGCUCGAAAGUGCGGGUAUCGAACAGG
RNAcentral lists this ribosomal RNA (424 nucleotides) under uncultured bacterium. RNAcentral's name for it is "bacterial SSU rRNA". It matches the Rfam family "Bacterial small subunit ribosomal RNA", at positions 355 to 776 of the family's 1533-position model. The record is from RNAcentral.